This 424-nucleotide ribosomal RNA is filed under the name uncultured bacterium. RNAcentral's name for it is "bacterial SSU rRNA". It matches the Rfam family "Bacterial small subunit ribosomal RNA", at positions 355 to 796 of the family's 1533-position model. The record is from RNAcentral.
UGGGGAAUUUUGGACAAUGGGGGAAACCCUGAUCCAGCAAUGCCGCGUGUGUGAAGAAGGCCUUCGGGUUGUAAAGCCCUUUCGGCGGGGAAGAUAAUGACGGUACCCGCAGAAGAAGCCCCGGCUAACUUCGUGCCAGCAGCCGCGGUAAUACGAAGGGGGCUAGCGUUGCUCGGAAUCACUGGGCGUAAAGCGCACGUAGGCGGGUCCUUAAGUCAGGGGUGAAAUCCUGGAGCUCAACUCCAGAACUGCCUUUGAUACUGAGGAUCUCGAGUUCGGGAGAGGUGAGUGGAACUGCGAGUGUAGAGGUGAAAUUCGUAGAUAUUCGCAAGAACACCAGUGGCGAAGGCGGCUCACUGGCCCGAUACUGACGCUGAGGUGCGAAAGCGUGGGGAGCAAACAGGAUUAGAUACCCCGGUAGUCC